This 305-nucleotide ribosomal RNA is filed under the name uncultured bacterium. RNAcentral's name for it is "partial 16S ribosomal RNA". It matches the Rfam family "Bacterial small subunit ribosomal RNA", at positions 505 to 807 of the family's 1533-position model. The record is from RNAcentral.
ACAGCAGCAGCCGCGGUAAUACGUAGGGUGCAAGCGUUAAUCGGAAUUACUGGGCGUAAAGCGUGCGCAGGCGGUUAUAUAAGACAGAUGUGAAAUCCCCGGGCUCAACCUGGGAACUGCAUUUGUGACUGUAUAGCUAGGAUACGGCAGAGGGGGAUGGAAUUCCGCGUGUAGCAGUGAAAUGCGUAGAUAUGCGGAGGAACACCGAUGGCGAAGGCAAUCCCCUGGGCCUGUACUGACGCUCAUGCACGAAAGCGUGGGGAGCAAACAGGAUUAGAUACCCCGGUAGUCCCUGUCUCUUAUAC